GCUCUUAUAGCUUAGAGGUAGAGCGCCUAUCCGCUAUUACCUAUUUAGUUCUACUACUAAUCUAGUGGAUCUAAAAAGGCAGAUAGGAGAUCCUAGGUUCGAUUUCUAGUAAGACCA
RNAcentral lists this transfer RNA (117 nucleotides) under Aureobasidium melanogenum. RNAcentral's name for it is "Aureobasidium pullulans var. melanogenum tRNA". It matches the Rfam family "tRNA". From Rfam's summary of the family: Transfer RNA (tRNA) molecules are approximately 80 nucleotides in length. Lineage: Eukaryota; Fungi; Ascomycota; Dothideomycetes; Dothideales; Saccotheciaceae. The record is from Rfam by way of RNAcentral. RNAcentral also lists the same sequence under 1 other name.